Molecule: non-coding RNA, 22 nt
Filed under: Arabidopsis thaliana (thale cress)
Lineage: Eukaryota; Viridiplantae; Streptophyta; Magnoliopsida; Brassicales; Brassicaceae
Source: RNAcentral
GCCGUAAGCGCGUGGGUGCGGC